CCCCACGGGGGGUGGAUAGACUGCGAGUCGUGCGUCUCUAAGCUAUGGUAGAGACGCGGCAUACGGCUCAGUAACACGUGGCUAACCUACCCUUGGGACGGAGACACCCCCGGGAAACCACGCACAGGCACGUAAUCAGCUUUCUCGACACGCUCAAAGCAUAGCUAUGCGCACAUAGUUCAUGUACAACCCGCUUUCCUUAACGGAAAAACCAACCUAAGAAGCUUUGAGUCAACAAUUCACGGUAACACAUCACCGCUAACAGAAACAAACAGAAGCUCUGGCGUGGCCCAAAACUGGGGUUAAUACCCGAUGGGUGAAGAGGCCUGGAAUGGUUCUCCACCGAAAAGACGUUGAAACCACGCUUUUCAACGUUGCCCAAGGAUUGGGCCGCGUCCGAUCAGGUUGUUGGUGGGGUAACGGCUCACCAAGCCUAUAACCGGUACGGGCCGUGAGAGCGGGAGCCCGGAGAUGGGCACUGAGAUAAGGGCCCAGGCCCUACGGGGCGCAGCAGUCGCGAAAACUCCGCAAUGCGCGAAAGCGUGACGGGGCUACCCCGAGUGUCGUCCGCUGAGGAUGACUUUUCCCCGGUGUAAGGAGCCGGGGGAAUAAGGAGAGGGCAAGCCUGGUGUCAGCCGCCGCGGUAAUACCAGCUCUCCGAGUGGUAGGGAUGAUUAUUUGGCUUAAAGCGUCCGUAGCCGGCCCGGCAAGUCUCCCGUUAAAUCCGGCGACCUAAUCGUUGGGCUGCAGGAGAUACUGUUGGGCUAGGAGGCGUGAGAGGCCGACGGUAUUCCCGGGGUAGGGUGAAAUCCUAUAAUCCUGGGAGGACCACCAGUGGCGAAAGCUGUCGGCUAGAACGCGCUCGACGGUGAGGGACGAAAGCUGGGGGAGCGAACCGGAUUAGAUACCCGGG
This 913-nucleotide ribosomal RNA is filed under the name uncultured archaeon. Its description in RNAcentral is "bacterial SSU rRNA". It matches the Rfam family "Archaeal small subunit ribosomal RNA", at positions 28 to 741 of the family's 1478-position model. The record is from RNAcentral.